Molecule: ribosomal RNA, 253 nt
Filed under: uncultured bacterium
Lineage: Bacteria
Description: partial 16S ribosomal RNA
Rfam family: Bacterial small subunit ribosomal RNA
Source: RNAcentral
UACGUAGGGUGCGAGCGUUGUCCGGAAUUACUGGGCGUAAAGAGCUCGUAGGUGGUUUGUCGCGUUGUCCGUGAAAACUCACAACUCAAUUGUGGGCGUGCGGGCGAUACGGGCAGACUGGAGUACUGCAGGGGAGACUGGAAUUCCUGGUGUAGCGGUGGAAUGCGCAGAUAUCAGGAGGAACACCGGUGGCGAAGGCGGUUCUCUGGGCAGUAACUGACGCUGAGGAGCGAAAGCGUGGGGAGCGAACAGG